ACGAACGCUGGCGGCGUGCUUAACACCUGCCCGUCGAACGUGAUUUUUGUGGAAAUUCUUUCGGGAAUGGAAAUGAAAUGAAAGUGGCGAACGGGUGAGUAACACGUGAGCAACCUACCUUACACAGGGGGAUAGCCGUUGGAAACGACGAUUAAUACCGCAUGAGACCACAGAAUCGCAUGAUAUAGGGGUCAAAGAUUUAUCGGUGUAAGAAGGGCUCGCGUCUGAUUAGCUAGUUGGAAGGGUAAAGGCCUACCAAGGCGACGAUCAGUAGCCGGUCUGAGAGGAUGAACGGCCACAUUGGAACUGAGACACGGUCCAAACUCCUACGGGAGGCAGCAGUGGGGAAUAUUGCACAAUGGGGGGAACCCUGAUGCAGCGACGCCGCGUGAGCGAAGAAGGUUUUCGAAUCGUAAAGCUCUGUCCUAUGAGAAGAUAAUGACGGUAUCAUAGGAGGAAGCCCCGGCUAAAUACGUG
Molecule: ribosomal RNA, 477 nt
Filed under: uncultured bacterium
Lineage: Bacteria
Description: partial 16S ribosomal RNA
Rfam family: Bacterial small subunit ribosomal RNA
Source: RNAcentral